This 485-nucleotide ribosomal RNA is filed under the name uncultured bacterium. Its description in RNAcentral is "bacterial SSU rRNA". It matches the Rfam family "Bacterial small subunit ribosomal RNA", at positions 43 to 524 of the family's 1533-position model. The record is from RNAcentral.
CAGGCCUAACACAUGCAAGUCGAACGGCACCGCGGGAGCAUCCUGGCGGCGAGUGGCGAACGGGUGAGUAAUAUAUCGGAACGUGCCCAUUAGUGGGGGAUAGCCCGGCGAAAGCCGGAUUAAUACCGCAUACGACCUGAGGGUGAAAGCGGGGGAUCGCAAGACCUCGCGCUAUUGGAGCGGCCGAUAUCAGAUUAGCUAGUCGGUGGGGUAAAGGCCUACCAAGGCAACGAUCUGUAGUUGGUCUGAGAGGACGACCAGCCACACUGGGACUGAGACACGGGCCAGACUCCUACGGGAGGCAGCAGUGGGGAAUUUUGGACAAUGGGCGCAAGCCUGAUCCAGCAAUGCCGCGUGCAGGAAGAAGGCCUUCGGGUUGUACACUGCUUUUGUCAGGGAAGAAAUCCUUUGGGUUAAUACCUCGGAGGGAUGACGGUACCUGAAGAAUAAGCACCGGCUAACUACGUGCCAUCAGCCGCGGUAAU